AGCGAACGCUGGCGGCAGGCCUAACACAUGCAAGUCGAACGGGCCCCUUCGGGGGUCAGUGGCAGACGGGUGAGUAACACGUGGGAACGUACCUUCCGGUUCGGGAUAACCCGGGGAAACUCGGGCUAAUACCGGAUACGCCUUUCGAGGGAAAGAUUUAUUGCCGAGAGAUCGGCCCGCGUCUGAUUAGCUAGUUGGUGGGGUAACGGCUCACCAAGGCGACGAUCAGUAGCUGGUCUGAGAGGAUGAUCAGCCCACACUGGGACUGAGACACGGCCCAGACUCCUACGGGAGGCAGCAGUGGGGAAUAUUGGACAAUGGGCGAAAGCCUGAUCCAGCCAUGCCGCGUGAGUGAUGAAGGCCCUAGGGUUGUAAAGCUCUUUCGGCGGGGACGAUAAUGACGGUACCCGCAGAAGAAGCCCCGGCUAACUUCGUGCCAGCCGCCGCUGUAA
Molecule: ribosomal RNA, 452 nt
Filed under: uncultured bacterium
Lineage: Bacteria
Description: partial 16S ribosomal RNA
Rfam family: Bacterial small subunit ribosomal RNA
Source: RNAcentral